GUGAAUCAUCGAAUUUUUGAACGCACAUUGCACUCUCUGGUAUUCCGGAGAGUAUGCCUGCUUGAGGGUCAGUUUAAAUAAAACUAGGUUUGGUUGCUGCCUUUCGUGGUGACUCACCGGAUUUGGGUCUUCUUGCUUUCGGUUAAGUGACCUAAAUUGUUGCAUGAUUUUUUUCGAACGUAUUUAAAUGAUUUUACGUACGCUUGCGUU
Molecule: unclassified non-coding RNA, 210 nt
Filed under: Glomus sp.
Lineage: Eukaryota; Fungi; Glomeromycota; Glomeromycetes; Glomerales; Glomeraceae
Description: partial contains 5.8S ribosomal RNA and internal transcribed spacer 2
Rfam family: 5.8S ribosomal RNA (bases 1-71)
Source: RNAcentral